This is a non-coding RNA of Pelobates cultripes (western spadefoot toad), 213 nucleotides long. The record is from the annotation of a GenBank genome assembly. NCBI's taxonomy places the organism in Eukaryota, Metazoa, Chordata, Amphibia, Anura, Pelobatidae.
GGAGGGGCACUUGUAGAUUAUUUAAAGAAAUAAUCCAUGCACAAUAACCACUACUGCUCUGUGUAGUGGUUAUGGUGCCAGGAGUGCUGGGACUCCCUCCCAGAGUAAGUAGUCAAACCGUUUAAGAACAGUUUGACAACUUAUCUGGGGUCUGCUGGGAUAUGGUAUAGGAGCAGUGGUGCAAUGUGUGAGGGGUGCAGUGUGUGUGAAAGG